UAAUUGGGUUACAUUAUUAUUGGCAAGGUCAUAGUUCAGUAGACAAGGCAGUAAAAUUCAUUCAACACUACAAAUUAUAUCCUAAAUAUUUAUAAUGAUAUUUUGGAGUUGUCGCAGUAGAAAGUACUUGUAAGAAAUACUGAAUACUCAGAGAUACAUAAAAUUGUUCAAGUGGUUAUAUACUUGGGUUUAUCUUCUGUUUCGAGAUUAAACACAUUAAGAGGUGAAUGUAAAAGCCAAUUGAGAGGUGCAGAAUCACUUAAUCUUGGUGGGGUGUACACCUCUCCACUAGUAACAGUUAGACUCAAUUCAUGGAUUUGAUUCAGUCAGAAGAAGAUGCACAGAAAAAUGCAGUUGAACUGAAAGUUUUGAAAAAAUGCACAGCACUCAUUACGUUAUUUUUUUCCUGAGAAAGCACGGUUGUUGAUAACUGUUGAGGAAAAAAAAAGAGGAGAAAAUGACAUGAUGUGACUUACAGCUGUCGGGGGUUGUACCUGAAAUUUUUUAUGUACUUUUGAAUUCCAGUAUGUAUCCUGUUGAGUUAAAGUGAAACUAGUUUAGGUAUUUUUAACUUCCAGUGUGUAGCCUGUUGUGUUAAAGUGAAACCAUGCAACUACUCUUCAGAAAAAGUCUUAUUAAAAGACCAGAGGUUCUGAUGUCUUUACAUGAAAUGUUCCCAGCAGUGCAUGCAGCAGAAAUGGCUGUUCAGAGGAAUCCACGUUCCUGGGAUGCCUGGCAGACUUUGGGACGUGCCCAGCUUGGAUUAGGAGAGAUAGCUCUGGUAGGAAAGUAAACAACAUUGGCAUAUUAAAAUUGUGAACUACAUCCUCUGAAUUGUGCGUGAGAGAGUGAAAGUACGAAAAUACCAAGGCAAUUGAAUAGCCUUAAGUAGCCUGAAAGCAGGCAAGUAAAAAAAUGUUUGCUGUUAGUUACCAGCGUGCCCCUCCUUGGAUGUUUAUCACAAAUGCUUCCUGUGUGGUUUUGUUGCCAGGCUUGUGUAAGACCUGCCUAGCUUUCUGUGUUACAUGCUGUGUUUAAGUGGUGGCUUUAUGCAGCAGAAUAAUUACAAAGAUGUAACUAUGUACGCUACAUUCUAGAUGCUGUACUGUUGCAAUGCAGCACACCAUACUUUAGAGCUGAAAGUACUGUGAAGUCACAGGUGAUACCUGUCCUCAGUUUUAUGCACAGCUGCUAGAAGAUAUCUUGUUUUCCCUAGCUCCUGCUUUCUUGCUUCAAAUGCAGCAAAUCACAUGUGCGCUUCCACGCAUCCCUGUUGCUCCGUGACUCCAUAUGGGAGAUGAAAUUGAUUCUUUAGCAAAUAAGAGAAUAAAAAGGCUGGGGUGCUCCACAGUAGCAGGAGUACAGCUUUUUUCUAGCUCCUGCUGACUGCCAUGGUGCUGUACUGGGCAUAUUAAGUGAUACAAAAGGAGACAUCCCUUACAUCAAAUCACCCACAGUCUGCAGGUAAUCCAACUCUAAGUAGCUGUCUGCAUGUUAAAGUGUGGGAACAGAGUUAGUGAGCAUUGUAGUCCAGAUAUGUUCAAAAAGUCAAUUAGAAAAAUAAACUGUAAUGGGCUCUCAGAUAAAAAAGAUAGUGGCUUUAUUUUGUUUUCAUUUUGAGUAGCUGAGUGCUGGUUUUAUGGAAAUGAAUAAUAUUGUCAUUAGAGUAUUUCUGGAAAGUUGCAAUGUUUGAACUGAAAACUUUUCAAGCAUAAAUUAAGAUGUUUUUGAGUGAGGCUAACAAGUCAUGGAGAGCGUGAUUUUUUUUUAAACUACAGUAGGGUACAGUAUUUGAAAAAAAGAAAUUUAAAAAGGGCAAAACAUGAGAAUAGCAUAAGGUAGAAACUGAGUGUUGCAGAUAUGUGUGUAGUGUUCUGCCUUCUGUUGUCACAGUAUCAAAACAGGAAAUAUUUAAUAUAAAUCCAUAUCUGUCUGCAUGAUGUCAAAUAGUUGGUGACAUUCCAUUGUUUUUGUGUUGCAGAAGGCAAGGGCAGAUGGUCUGUCAUGUCUGCAUUAACAAUCUAUAAAUCCUCUCUUUUUUUUCAGUGCCUAAAGUUGCCACUGUAAAUUAUGUCUGAGAUUUUAAAUACAUUAGUCUCAGGAAAUUCGAAGUUAUUUCCUGCAAGAAUCCCAGGUAGCUGGUGCUGCUUAUUCUAUA
This is a non-coding RNA of Meleagris gallopavo (turkey), 2158 nucleotides long. The record is from RefSeq and is a predicted model, not a curated record. NCBI's taxonomy places the organism in Eukaryota, Metazoa, Chordata, Aves, Galliformes, Phasianidae.